CGGCACGCCUAACACAUGCAAGUCGAACGAAGUAGCAAUACUUAGUGGCGAACGGGUGAGUAUAAUGUGGGAAUCUGCCUUUUGGUUUGGAAUAACAUGGGGAAACUUGUGCUAAUACCAAAUAAGCCUUCACAGGGAAAGUUUUAACGCCAAGAGAUGAGCCCGCACUUGAUUAGCUAGUUGGUAAGGUAAUGGCUUACCAAGGCUACGAUCAAUAGCUGAUCUGAGAGGAUGAUCAGCCACAUUGGGACUGAGACACGGCCCAAACUCCUACGGGAGGCAGCAGUGGGGAAUCUUGCACAAUGGGGGAAACCCUGAUGCAGCGAUGCCGCGUGAGUGAAGAAGGCCCUUGGGUUGUAAAGCUCUUUCGUCGGGGAAGAAAAUGACUGUACCCGAAUAAGAAGGUCCGGCUAACUUCGUGCCAGCAGCCGCGGUAAUACGAAGGGACCUAGCGUAGUUCGGAAUUACUGGGCUUAAAGAGCUCGUAGGUGGUUAGAAAAGUUGGUGGUGAAAUCCCAAGGCUUAACCUUGGAACUGCCAUCAAAACUUUUUAACUAGAGUAUGAUAGAGGAAAGUGGAAUUUCUAGUGUAGAGGUGAAAUUCGUAGAUAUUAGAAAGAACACCGAUUGCGAAGGCAGCUUUCUGGAUCAUUACUGACACUGAGGAGCGAAAGCAUGGGUAGCGAAGAGGAUUAGAUACCCUCGUAGUCCAUGCUGUAAACGAUGUGUGCUAGACGUUGGAAAUUUAUUUUUCAGUGUCGCAGCAAAAGCAUUAAGCACACCGCCUGGGGAGUACGA
This 797-nucleotide ribosomal RNA is filed under the name uncultured Pelagibacteraceae bacterium. RNAcentral's name for it is "bacterial SSU rRNA". It matches the Rfam family "Bacterial small subunit ribosomal RNA", at positions 40 to 885 of the family's 1533-position model. Lineage: Bacteria; Pseudomonadati; Pseudomonadota; Alphaproteobacteria; Candidatus Pelagibacterales; Candidatus Pelagibacteraceae. The record is from RNAcentral.